RNAcentral lists this ribosomal RNA (443 nucleotides) under uncultured bacterium. Its description in RNAcentral is "partial 16S ribosomal RNA". It matches the Rfam family "Bacterial small subunit ribosomal RNA", at positions 338 to 795 of the family's 1533-position model. The record is from RNAcentral.
CCUACGGGAGGCAGCAGUGGGGAAUAUUGGGCAAUGGGCGCAAGCCUGACCCAGCAACGCCGCGUGAAGGAAGAAGGCUCUCGGGUUGUAAACUUCUUUUAUCAGGGACGAAGCAAGUGACGGUACCUGAUGAAUAAGCCACGGCUAACUACGUGCCAGCAGCCGCGGUAAUACGUAGGUGGCAAGCGUUAUUCGGAUUUACUGGGUGUAAAAGGAGUGUAGGCAGGAAAGCAAGUCAGAUGUGAAAACCAUGGGCUCAACCUGUGGCCUGCAUUUGAAACUGUUUUUCUUGAGUACUGGAAGGGCAGACGGAAUGCCUGGUGUAGCGGUGAAAUGCGUAGAUAUUAGGAGGAACACCAGUGGCGAAGGCAGUCUGCUGGACAGCAACUGACGCUGAGGCGCGAAAGCGUGGGGAGCAAACAGGAUUAGAUACCCCGGUAGUC